CGGCAUGAGUGUUUUAUUCUUUACUGUUGUUUCAAAGUAGUGCAAAAUGAAUAUGUUUGUUUGGUUCCUAUUGGCUUGUAAUCUUGGGUUAUGUUUGAAUACAGUUAUCAGAAAAUCCACUUUCCUCGGUGGUCCAAUGGACCGGGGUUAUUGGGUAGAAAGGCGAUGCAGAUCUCAUAGCGGAGUGUGUAUAGAGGUCGACAGUCCUUGUGACGGGAAAGUUAUCAGAGGAUAUGGACUAUGUCAUGGCCGCUAUAUAAAGAAAUGCUGUGCCUACUUUUAAUAGGCUCAACAUGUGAUCUUUAAAAUGAGAAAGAAGAAACAUAACCUGAUCGAAGUCUUCACAGUUAAAUUGUACCACAUUAAAAUUUAGAUUGCAUUUAAGAAUUA
Long non-coding RNA from Mytilus trossulus (common blue mussel), 390 nucleotides. RefSeq lists it as uncharacterized. NCBI's taxonomy places the organism in Eukaryota, Metazoa, Mollusca, Bivalvia, Mytilida, Mytilidae. The transcript is spliced from 4 exons. The record is from RefSeq and is a predicted model, not a curated record.